UGAGUGAGCGAUUGUGACGGUGAAAUCAAGAAGAAGGAGAGGGAUUACGGUUUUUGUUUGAAGAAUAAAAUGAAUGGUUGUGAGCGGUUUUGCGUGUGGGAAGAAAAAGGAUAGGUUUUUUGUGGUGCAGAAAAUUAUUUUUAGAGGAAGGAUCCUUUGGUAGAUGCAGGAUCUUCUCCCAUUCUUCCCACGAAUAUGUUCUCUUUUUAAGUUUUC
This 216-nucleotide long non-coding RNA is filed under the name Lathyrus oleraceus (garden pea). RNAcentral describes it as "Pisum sativum (pea) long non-coding RNA (PSAT_LNC026813)". Lineage: Eukaryota; Viridiplantae; Streptophyta; Magnoliopsida; Fabales; Fabaceae. The record is from RNAcentral.